This 330-nucleotide ribosomal RNA is filed under the name Parapucaya amazonica. RNAcentral's name for it is "LSU rRNA". It matches the Rfam family "Eukaryotic large subunit ribosomal RNA", at positions 671 to 965 of the family's 3401-position model. Lineage: Eukaryota; Metazoa; Arthropoda; Insecta; Coleoptera; Scarabaeidae. The record is from RNAcentral.
GAGUCUAGCAUGUGCGCGAGUCAUUGGGACCCGUACGAAACCUAAAGGCUUAAUGAAAGUGAAGGUUCGCCUCGCGCGAACCGAGGGAGGAUGGACGAUCGCACAAGGUCGUCCCGCACUCCCUGGGCGUCUCGUUCUCAUCGCGAGAAGAGGCGCACCAAGAGCGUACACGCUGGGACCCGAAAGAUGGUGAACUAUGCCUGGUCAGGACGAAGUCAGGGGAAACCCUGAUGGAGGUCCGUAGCGAUUCUGACGUGCAAAUCGAUCGUCGGAACUGGGUAUAGGGGCGAAAGACUAAUCGAACCAUCUAGUAGCUGUUCCCCUUCCGAA